CGGAAAUGAGGUCCUUCUGGUGGGAGCAGGGUUGUAUGGAUCACUCUCAGUCCUUUCUCUGUUGUUUUUUCAUUCGCUUUGGCCUGCACGUGAUGAGAGCACCCCUGCACGUAAGGCUCGGUGAACUGCAGACAGCGCCGUGUCCUUGGAGCACUUCACGGCAAAACAACGGAUGGAAGUGAUGGAUAAAUCCACAUCAGGCACUUUCCCUCCCCACCGGAUGAAGGACUUUCCUGGUCUCUGUACAGUGUUUAGGACAAAAUGAAACCAAAAUUUUUUUGCUGGUUCCAGAAGAACCCUGAUGUACACAAAGCAGCCCACUUUCUGGCUCCACAAAAAAUAAA
Molecule: long non-coding RNA, 344 nt
Filed under: Manacus vitellinus (golden-collared manakin)
Lineage: Eukaryota; Metazoa; Chordata; Aves; Passeriformes; Pipridae
Description: lncRNA (ENSMVIG00005006046.1)
Source: RNAcentral